GCUAUUUUAGCAUAAUAAUUGUAAUAAAUUUAGAAUUUAUUGAUAUAAAAAAAAAAAUUAUAAAUAGUA
RNAcentral lists this transfer RNA (69 nucleotides) under Habroteleia persimilis. RNAcentral describes it as "tRNA-Leu". Lineage: Eukaryota; Metazoa; Arthropoda; Insecta; Hymenoptera; Scelionidae. The record is from RNAcentral.